GAUGAACGCUGGCGGCGUGUCUAAGGCAUGCAAGUCGAACGAUGAACCCGGAGCUUGCUCCGGUGGAUUAGUGGCGAACGGGUGAGUAACACGUGAGUAACCUGCCCUUGACUCUGGGAUAACUGCGGGAAACUGUAGCUAAUACCGGAUACGACCCUCGGCGGCAUCGCCAGGGGGUGGAAAGAAUUUCGGUCAAGGAUGGACUCGCGGCCUAUCAGCUAGUUGGUGAGGUAACGGCUCACGAAGGCGACGACGGGUAGCCGGCCUGAGAGGGUGACCGGCCACACUGGGACUGAGACACGGCCCAGACUCCUACGGGAGGCAGCAGUGGGGAAUAUUGCACAAUGGGCGCAAGCCUGAUGCAGCAACGCCGCGUGAGGGAUGACGGCCUUCGGGUUGUAAACCUCUUUCAGCACCGACGAAGCGCAAGUGACGGUAGGUGCAGAAGAAGGACCGGCCAACUACGUGCCAGCCGCCGCCGUAA
RNAcentral lists this ribosomal RNA (484 nucleotides) under uncultured bacterium. Its description in RNAcentral is "partial 16S ribosomal RNA". It matches the Rfam family "Bacterial small subunit ribosomal RNA", at positions 28 to 523 of the family's 1533-position model. The record is from RNAcentral.